Molecule: small nuclear RNA, 24 nt
Filed under: Arabidopsis thaliana (thale cress)
Lineage: Eukaryota; Viridiplantae; Streptophyta; Magnoliopsida; Brassicales; Brassicaceae
Description: snRNA_00891
Source: RNAcentral
AACACGCCCGUAAACAGAACCUCU